AGAGGUGGGAGAAUGGCUUGAGGCCAGGAGUUCGACCAGCCUGGGCAACAUAGUGAAGACCCUGUUCUUUACCAACACAAAGGAAAGAAAAAAAAACAGCAGCAGCAGCUUAACACAGCAGCCACAAAGGUCCACCCUGUCAUCCCUGCCAUGUGGCUGGAGGAUCAGGUGUGUUUCCUUUUGAAGCUUAUGCUACAGCAGUGUAAGACCCAGUAUGAGCUGGGGAAGCUUUUACAGCUCUUUGUUGAAAGAGAGCAUCUCUUCUCUGAUGGUAAAGAGGAUUAGGCUGCCUUCAGCCAAAUCUGUCACUGAAGCUAUGCAAACGGCCCAGCCUUCUGAGAAGGUCCAGAUGUGAAAAAGCUUUGCAUCCUUUGCCAGAUUUUGAAGGAUACAUCCAUAGCCAUUAAUCAUACAAUUAUUACCAGCUACAGCAUUGAGAAUCUUCAGCAUGAAUGUAGAUCUAUUUUGGAAAGACUGCAGACAGAUGGACAAUUCGCUUUGGCCAGGAGGGUAGCAGAAUUAGCUGAGUUACCUGUGGACAACUUGGUUAUUAAAGAGAUAACACAGGAAAUGCAGACCCUAAAACACAUUGAACAGUGGUCACUAAAACAAGCAAGAAUUGACUUCUGGAAAAAAUGCCAUGAGAAUUUUAAGAAAAAUUCAAUUUCAAGCAAAGCAGCUUCUUCCUUUUUCUCAACCCAGGCCCAUGUGGCAUGUGAGCACCCAACUGGAUGGAGCAGCAUGGAGGAGCGCCAUCUGCUGCUCACCUUGGCAGGGCACUGGCUUGCCCAGGAGGACGUGGUGCCCUUGGAUAAGCUGGAGGAGCUGGAGAAGCAGAUCUGGCUGUGCCGCAUCACC
Molecule: long non-coding RNA, 858 nt
Filed under: Homo sapiens (human)
Lineage: Eukaryota; Metazoa; Chordata; Mammalia; Primates; Hominidae
Description: non-protein coding lnc-PATL2-5:2
Source: RNAcentral